Molecule: ribosomal RNA, 329 nt
Filed under: uncultured eukaryote
Lineage: Eukaryota
Description: partial 18S ribosomal RNA
Rfam family: Eukaryotic small subunit ribosomal RNA
Source: RNAcentral
CCCUUAGAUGUUCUGGGCCGCACGCGCGCUACACUGACUGGUGCAACAAGUGUCUGACCUUGGCUCGAGAGGCCUGGGCAACCUUUGAACGCCAGUCGUGCUGGGGAUAGAUUCUUGCAAUUAUUAAUCUUCAACGAGGAAUUCCUAGUAAACGCAAGUCAUCAGCUUGCAUUGAUUACGUCCCUGCCCUUUGUACACACCGCCCGUCGCUCCUACCGAUUGAAUGGUCCGGUGAGUUGUCGGGAUGAGACGCUUUUGGCGGGCAACUGCGAGAAGCGACUCAGAAUCUCAGCAAACCUUAUCAUUUAGAGGAAGGAGAAGUCGUANCA